RNAcentral lists this ribosomal RNA (497 nucleotides) under uncultured bacterium. RNAcentral's name for it is "partial 16S ribosomal RNA". It matches the Rfam family "Bacterial small subunit ribosomal RNA", at positions 28 to 507 of the family's 1533-position model. The record is from RNAcentral.
GAUGAACGCUGGCGGCGUGCCUAAUACAUGCCAGUCGAGCGAACAGACGAGGAGCUUGCUCCUCUGACGUUAGCGGCGGACGGGUGAGUAACACGUGGAUAACCUACCUAUAAGACUGGGAUAACUUCGGGAAACCGGAGCUAAUACCGGAUAAUAUAUUGAACCGCAUGGUUCAAUAGUGAAAGACGGUUUUGCUGGCACUUAUAGAUGGAUCCGCGCCGCAUUAGCUAGUUGGUAAGGUAACGGCUUACCAAGGCAACGAUGCGUAGCCGACCUGAGAGGGUGUUCGGCCACACUGGAACUGAGACACGGUCCAGACUCCUACGGGAGGCAGCAGUAGGGAAUCUUCCGCAAUGGGCGAAAGCCUGACGGAGCAACGCCGCGUGAGUGAUGAAGGUCUUCGGAUCGUAAAACUCUGUUAUUAGGGAAGAACAAAUGUGUAAGUAACUAUGCACGUCUUGACGGUACCUAAUCAGAAAGCCACGGCUAACUACGUG